Molecule: ribosomal RNA, 97 nt
Filed under: uncultured bacterium
Lineage: Bacteria
Description: partial 16S ribosomal RNA
Rfam family: Bacterial small subunit ribosomal RNA
Source: RNAcentral
CACACCGCCCGUCACAUCAUGAAAGCCGGUUGUACCCGAAGUCCGCACGCCGACCGCAAGGGGGCAGUGGCCGAAGGUAUGGCUGGUGAUUGGGAUG